UACGUAGGGUGCGAGCGUUGUCCGGAAUUAUUGGGCGUAAAGAGCUCGUAGGCGGUCUGUCGCGUCGGUCGUGAAAACUUGGGGCUUAACCCUGAGCUUGCGGUCGAUACGGGCAUGACUGGAGUUCGGCAGGGGAGACUGGAAUUCCUGGUGUAGCGGUGAAAUGCGCAGAUAUCAGGAGGAACACCGGUGGCGAAGGCGGCCAUCUGGACCGCAACUGACGCUGAGGCGCGAAAGCGUGGGGAGCAAACAGG
This 254-nucleotide ribosomal RNA is filed under the name uncultured bacterium. Its description in RNAcentral is "partial 16S ribosomal RNA". It matches the Rfam family "Bacterial small subunit ribosomal RNA", at positions 524 to 776 of the family's 1533-position model. The record is from RNAcentral.